Molecule: ribosomal RNA, 468 nt
Filed under: uncultured bacterium
Lineage: Bacteria
Description: partial 16S ribosomal RNA
Rfam family: Bacterial small subunit ribosomal RNA
Source: RNAcentral
GACGAACGCUGGCGGCGUGCUUAACACAUGCAAGUCGAACGGAAAGGCCCUGCUUUUGUGGGGUGCUCGAGUGGCGAACGGGUGAGUAACACGUGAGUAACCUGCCCUUGACUUUGGGAUAACUUCAGGAAACUGGGGCUAAUACCGGAUAGGAGCUCCUGCUGCAUGGUGGGGGUUGGAAAGUUUCGGCGGUUGGGGAUGGACUCGCGGCUUAUCAGCUUGUUGGUGGGGUAGUGGCUUACCAAGGCUUUGACGGGUAGCCGGCCUGAGAGGGUGACCGGCCACAUUGGGACUGAGGGACGGCCCAGACUCCUACGGGAGGCAGCAGGGGGGAAUAUUGCACAAUGGGAGGAAGCCUGAUGCAGCAACGCCGGGGGCGGGAAGACCGCCUUCGGGUUGUAAACCGCUUUCGCCUGUGACGAAGCGGGAGUGACGGUAAUGGGUAAAGAAGCACCGGCUAACUACGUG